AGGGUUUGAUCAUGGCUCAGGACGAACGCUGGCGGCGUGCUUAACACAUGCAAGUCGAACGGAAAGGCCCUUCGGGGUACUCGAGUGGCGAACGGGUGAGUAACACGUGGGUGAUCUGCCCUGCACUCUGGGAUAAGCCUGGGAAACUGGGUCUAAUACCGGAUAGGACCACACACUUCAUGGUGAGUGGUGCAAAGCUUUUGCGGUGUGGGAUGAGCCCGCGGCCUAUCAGCUUGUUGGUGGGGUAAUGGCCCACCAAGGCGACGACGGGUAGCCGGCCUGAGAGGGUGACCGGCCACACUGGGACUGAGAUACGGCCCAGACUCCUACGGGAGGCAGCAGUGGGGAAUAUUGCACAAUGGGCGCAAGCCUGAUGCAGCGACGCCGCGUGAGGGAUGACGGCCUUCGGGUUGUAAACCUCUUUCAGUAGGGACGAAGCGAAAGUGACGGUACCUACAGAAGAAGGACCGGCCAACUACGUGCCAGCCGCCGCGGUAAUAC
RNAcentral lists this ribosomal RNA (501 nucleotides) under uncultured bacterium. Its description in RNAcentral is "bacterial SSU rRNA". It matches the Rfam family "Bacterial small subunit ribosomal RNA", at positions 8 to 526 of the family's 1533-position model. The record is from RNAcentral.